Molecule: ribosomal RNA, 273 nt
Filed under: uncultured Burkholderia sp.
Lineage: Bacteria; Pseudomonadati; Pseudomonadota; Betaproteobacteria; Burkholderiales; Burkholderiaceae
Description: partial 16S ribosomal RNA
Rfam family: Bacterial small subunit ribosomal RNA
Source: RNAcentral
UACGUAGGGUGCGAGCGUUAAUCGGAAUUACUGGGCGUAAAGCGUGCGCAGGCGGUUUGCCAAGUCCGAUGUGAAAGCCCCGGGCUCAACCUGGGAAUGGCAUUGGAAACUGGCAGGCUGGAGUGCGGCAGAGGGGGGUGGAAUUCCACGUGUAGCAGUGAAAUGCGUAGAGAUGUGGAGGAACACCGAUGGCGAAGGCAGCCCCCUGGGCCGACACUGACGCUCAGGCACGAAAGCGUGGGGAGCAAACAGGAUUAGAUACCCCCGUAGUCC